Molecule: non-coding RNA, 1268 nt
Organism: Sebastes umbrosus (honeycomb rockfish)
Lineage: Eukaryota; Metazoa; Chordata; Actinopteri; Perciformes; Sebastidae
Source: the annotation of a RefSeq genome assembly
CUUGUCUUUGGUGGGAAUGAAAACAUGCAGAUAACCCUGUCUUAAUGCAAAAGGGCACUGCAUUGGUGUGGUCUGCUUUUAAACAACUUUAUUUACACAACUGACUACGGACUGACUUAAAGGUGCUAUUGAUAACAUUGAUAGCAUUCAGCCACUAGAUGUCACAUUCACCCUGCCCCAUUCUAUUGCAUUCACUUCACAACAAGUCGUUUCCAGGCACUAAUCAUCAAUCUCUGCCAUUUAUACGGGUUUUUUUCAACACUAACUGACGACCCAGAGAUACCAAUGUCACAUAAAUUAACACAAUAACAUAAUUACAAAGGCUCGUAGUAGUAAAUUCAUCAAGCUUUAGUUUCCACAGCUUUGGUUUUAGUUCCUCACACUCUUUAAAUAUUUUACAGAAUCACUCACAGCUUACAGUCAGCCGUUUCUAUUCUUAAAACCACUACACCAAGAAAAUCCACCAGAAAAUAUAUGUAUGUAUUCAUUUGAGAUCUGAAUUUAAAACAAAGAAGAAGCUUUACAAAAUGAGCUGCGAGCAGAGGAAGAAGGUGGGGAAGAGGAGGUGUGAUGUAUGGCUCCACCUCUGAUACCAGAUUUCAGUCGGCCUUUAUGCCGUCAUUGCAAAUUUAAGAUGAAAACAACUGUGAAUUUAUUUGUCACUGUUGCACAGACCUUGAUUUAAGUUUCCAGGAUGCCUCCAGCUUUAUACACAUUUGGAUUUUUACUGCUUGUGCUCACACGAAAAGUGGAGAGUGUAACUUUUGAACAGUCCUCUUCUCAAGUAGUGAAGGAAGGGACUGAGGAGCUCAGGAUCGACUGCAGCCAUGAUGACAGCAGCCUUCAGGUGAUGCUGUGGUACCAGCACCAACAGAGCGGUCGGUCUAUGAGCCUCAUCGGGUACAAGUUUCUCCAUAAUUCACCGGACUACGAGGAGCAGUUUCAAAACUCCAGGUUCCAGAUUGGAGGAGGCACAAUGAGAGGAUCUCUGAUCAUUCGCAAAGUGAAUUCAUCCGACUCAGCUGUGUAUUUCUGCGCUGCUAGUACACAGUGAUGUGGUUUAAUACAACUGCUUCACUAAAACCUCCUACCACUUACAACAGCUGCUGCUCAGAGGUUUACUCAUCUGAGAACUGAGAAUAUGAUGCUGUUUAAUGGGGUAUGAUUCAUGUAUUGUAUUGCUAUUUGAUGGGACUUUUGAUUCAUUAUAUAAUAAAGUAACUGAACACUCUGCUAAUGUGAAUGCAUUUACUGCAAAAACACAAAUA